GAUGAACGCUAGCUACAGGCUUAACACAUGCAAGUCGAGGGGAAACGACAUCGAAAGCUUGCUUUUGAUGGGCGUCGACCGGCGCACGGGUGAGUAACGCGUAUCCAACCUGCCCAUCACUUGGGAAUAACCUUGCGAAAGUAAGACUAAUACCCAAUGAUAUCCCACGAAGGCAUCGGAAUGGGAUUAAAGAUUUAUCGGUGAUGGAUGGGGAUGCGUCUGAUUAGCUUGUUGGCGGGGUAACGGCCCACCAAGGCAACGAUCAGUAGGGGUUCUGAGAGGAAGGUCCCCCACAUUGGAACUGAGACACGGUCCAAACUGCUACGGGAGGCAGCAGUGAGGAAUAUUGGGCAAUGGGCGAGAGCCUGAACCAGCCAAGUAGCGUGCAGGAAGACGGCCCUAUGGGUUGUAAACUGCUUUUAUAAGGGAAUAAAGUGGGUCACGUGUGACUUUUUGCAUGUACCUUAUGAAUAAGGACCGGCUAAUUCCGUG
Molecule: ribosomal RNA, 492 nt
Filed under: uncultured bacterium
Lineage: Bacteria
Description: partial 16S ribosomal RNA
Rfam family: Bacterial small subunit ribosomal RNA
Source: RNAcentral